UACGGAGGAUCCGAGCGUUAUCCGGAUUUAUUGGGUUUAAAGGGAGCGUAGAUGGGUUGUUAAGUCAGUUGUGAAAGUUUGCGGCUCAACCGUAAAAUUGCAAUUGAUACUGGCAGCCUUGAGUACAGUUGAGGUAGGCGGAAUUCGUGGUGUAGCGGUGAAAUGCUUAGAUAUCACGAAGAACUCCGAUUGCGAAGGCAGCCUACUAAACUGCCACUGACAUUGAUGCUCGAAAGUGUGGGUAUCAA
RNAcentral lists this ribosomal RNA (248 nucleotides) under uncultured Bacteroides sp. RNAcentral's name for it is "partial 16S ribosomal RNA". It matches the Rfam family "Bacterial small subunit ribosomal RNA", at positions 524 to 771 of the family's 1533-position model. Lineage: Bacteria; Pseudomonadati; Bacteroidota; Bacteroidia; Bacteroidales; Bacteroidaceae. The record is from RNAcentral.